AGUGAACGCUGGCGGUAGGCCUAACACAUGCAAGUCGAACGGCAGCACAGGAGAGCUUGCUCUCUGGGUGGCGAGUGGCGGACGGGUGAGGAAUACAUCGGAAUCUACUCUGUCGUGGGGGAUAACGUAGGGAAACUUACGCUAAUACCGCAUACGACCUACGGGUGAAAGCAGGGGACCUUCGGGCCUUGCGCGAUUGACUGAGCCGAUGUCGGAUUAGCUAGUUGGCGGGGUAAAGGCCCACAAAGGCGACGAUCCGUAGCUGGUCUGAGAGGAUGAUCAGCCACACUGGAACUGAGACACGGUCCAGACUCCUACGGGAGGCAGCAGUGGGGAAUAUUGGACAAUGGGCGCAAGCCUGAUCCAGCCAUACCGCGCGGGUGAAGAAGGCCUUCGGGUUGUAAAGCCCUUUUGUUGGGAAAGAAAUCCAGCUGGCUAAUACCCGGUUGGGAUGACGGUACCCAAAGAAUAAGCACCGGCUAACUUCGUGCCAGCCGCCGCCGUAA
RNAcentral lists this ribosomal RNA (506 nucleotides) under uncultured bacterium. RNAcentral's name for it is "partial 16S ribosomal RNA". It matches the Rfam family "Bacterial small subunit ribosomal RNA", at positions 29 to 523 of the family's 1533-position model. The record is from RNAcentral.